RNAcentral lists this ribosomal RNA (173 nucleotides) under Acinetobacter johnsonii. RNAcentral describes it as "partial 16S ribosomal RNA". It matches the Rfam family "Bacterial small subunit ribosomal RNA", at positions 1 to 171 of the family's 1533-position model. The record is from RNAcentral. Lineage: Bacteria; Pseudomonadati; Pseudomonadota; Gammaproteobacteria; Moraxellales; Moraxellaceae.
UUUAACUGAAGAGUUUGAUCAUGGCUCAGAUUGAACGCUGGCGGCAGGCUUAACACAUGCAAGUCGAGCGGGCGAGGUUGCUUCGGUAACUGAGCUAGCGGCGGACGGGUGAGUAAUGCUUAGGAAUCUGCCUAUUAGUGGGGGACAACAUUCCGAAAGGAAUGCUAAUACCG